UUAGUUUUGAGAGACAGUCUCGCUAUAUAGCCCUAGCUGUCCUGAAACUAACUGUGUAGAACAGGUUGGCUUCAAACUUAUGGCAAUUCUUCUACCUCCGCCACCUGAGUACGGAGAUUACAAGUGUGUGCCACUAAUGACCAAAAGCCUCUUUAAAAAAAAAAAAAAAAGAUUUAUUUUAUGUAUAUGAGUGCUCUAUCUGCAUGUACACCUUUAUGCCAAAAGAGGGAAUCAGAUCCAAUGAUAGAUGGUUGGGAGCCACCAUGUAGUUACUGGGAAUUGAACUCAGGACCUCUGGAAGAGAAGCCAGUGCUCUUAACCUCUGAGCCAUCUCUCCAGCCCCCAAAAGCCUCUUUCGAGUCACCCAGAGCCCUCCUUGGUGACUCCACAGCUCUUAUCCAAUCCUGGUGCCAUUCUAGUCCAUGAAAAUUAGAGGGGUCAAUGUACCCAUUCUGAUAAUGUCUGCCUAUGGCCACGGCCUCUGAUGACAUUGCACCGAGCUCUUUACAAUACCCACAGAAGACUUGGGAGUGGUGACUCCCAGACCUCUCCUGGGAGACUUCGACCCCUCACCUUGAUUCCUGGGAGUCACUAAGAAGGCUCUGAAGUCCAAGCAGGAGGCCAGAGACUGGAAUUCCUCCACACAUUUCUCUGGAGGGUGUGGUGAUCGAUCUGGAAGGACAGGGAGCAACCGGGCUGGUCAACAUUCCUGCUUCUCAGCUCUGCCCACCAAUUCCCAAAGGACCUGGUAAAGAUGCCCAUCCUGCUUUGAAAGGGGUCCUUUAGCCCUCCAGUCUCCCUGGGCACUCCCGCUUUGUACCACCACUCACUGUAGAGGAGAAAGCGCUGGUAACCCUGGCCCAUCUCUUUCAGCAUGAUUCCCCCUGGGCACGAGCUGGAGAAGAGGUCUGUUCUCAUGUCAGGCCGGCCUGUCAGGAACAUGAGAGGACAGACGCAAAACCAAGCUGAGUCGGGCCUAGUAGUGCAGGGCCAUGAUCCCAGCUGCUCAGGAAGCUGAGGCAGGAGGAUUUCACAUUCAAGGCCUGCCUGGGCUAUAGGCAUGGAUUAGCCACAGCACUGGGGCCUCCCCCGCUCUUCCGGAUGCAACCACUCUACAGUGUACCCUGCAUGUCCAGCGACUCUGAGGCGUUCGGAGGAGAGCUGAGCCCUACAGUAGAAACCUGUAUCUGUAUCUGAAUUGGAGCUCUGCUGUGUUGUGAAGCACCGAGGAAAAGUGACUUCAUUAUUAGGUCUUUCAUUCAUUCACUUGGCAAAUUUGGGGAUUUCAGUUAUUUGCCAGGAACUGGCUAAUCCUGGGGGACAUUUUUUUUUUUUAAAUAACGGAAAAACAGCUUUACAAACAAACCAUUG
This is a long non-coding RNA of Peromyscus eremicus (cactus mouse), 1371 nucleotides long. RefSeq lists it as uncharacterized. The record is from RefSeq and is a predicted model, not a curated record. NCBI's taxonomy places the organism in Eukaryota, Metazoa, Chordata, Mammalia, Rodentia, Cricetidae. The transcript has 2 exons.